This 440-nucleotide unclassified non-coding RNA is filed under the name Hevea brasiliensis (rubber tree). The record is from RNAcentral. Lineage: Eukaryota; Viridiplantae; Streptophyta; Magnoliopsida; Malpighiales; Euphorbiaceae.
GAUGGUUCAAACCAUGGAGCAAUACCUCUUUUGCUAUGAUGCCGUUAUCGAUGAGCUUGAAGACCUCAUUUCAGAUAGCCAAUGAAGAAGAGAGUUCAUAAUGCAACUGGUUCUUCCUUGCUGCAAUCAUGCUUCUGUACUUGCUUACAAAUGAGAAGAAAUAGAACAAUAAUUUGUUCUGAAGAAGCAAAUCAGUUGGGUCCACUUGAGUUUCUUACUGUUCUUACCAUGUAGGAAUAAGCAUAAAACGUGCAAAAUAUCGUAUGUUGUAUUUCUGUUUGGAAGUAUACAUGCUUUUAGAGAGGGAAAAAGAACUUAUUUAACACACUCUUAAUCGUACCCUGCUUAUUGUUGAUUACAUGUAUGGUAAGUUGAUGAUGUUCAAGGUAGCUUUUACACCAACUUCCUUGCAAUGGUUUAUGUAAAGACCUUAUAUAAAA